Molecule: ribosomal RNA, 460 nt
Filed under: uncultured bacterium
Lineage: Bacteria
Description: partial 16S ribosomal RNA
Rfam family: Bacterial small subunit ribosomal RNA
Source: RNAcentral
CCUACGGGUCGCAGCAGUGAGGAAUAUUGGUCAAUGGACGAGAGUCUGAACCAGCCAAGUAGCGUGAAGGAUGACUGCCCUAUGGGUUGUAAACUUCUUUUAUAAAGGAAUAAAACGAGGCACGUGUGCCUUUUUGCAUGUACUUUAUGAAUAAGGAUCGGCUAACUCCGUGCCAGCAGCCGCGGUAAUACGGAGGAUCCGAGCGUUAUCCGGAUUUAUUGGGUUUAAAGGGAGCGUAGAUGGGUUGUUAAGUAAGUUGUGAAAGUUUGCGGCUCAACCGUAAAAUUGCAAUUGAUACUGGCAGUCGUGAGUACAGUUGAGGUAGGCGGAAUUCGUGGUGUAGCGGUGAAAUGCUUAGAUAUCACGAAGAACCCCGAUUGCGGAGGCAGCUUACUAAACUGUGACUGACAUUGAUGCUCGAAAGUGUGGGUAUCAAACAGGAUUAGAUACCCCAGUAGUC